GUGUCAGCAGCCGCGGUAAUACGUAGGGGGCAAGCGUUAUCCGGAAUCACUGGGCGUAAAGGGUGCGUAGGCGGCCUUUCAAGUCAGAGGUGAAAGGCUACGGCUCAACCGUAGUAAGCCUUUGAAACUGUAGGGCUUGAGUGCAGGAGAGGAAAGUGGAAUUCCUAGUGUAGCGGUGAAAUGCGUAGAUAUUAGGAGGAACACCAGUGGCGAAGGCGACUUUCUGGACUGUAACUGACGCUGAGGCACGAAAGUGUGGGGAGCAAACAGGAUUAGAUACCCUGGUAGUCCACACCGUAAACGAUGAGCGCUAGGUGUUGGGGGUCGAACCUCAGUGCCGCAGCUAACGCAUUAAGCGCUCCGCCUGGGGAGUACGCACGCAAGUGUGAAACUUAAAGGAAUUGACGG
This 408-nucleotide ribosomal RNA is filed under the name uncultured bacterium. RNAcentral describes it as "bacterial SSU rRNA". It matches the Rfam family "Bacterial small subunit ribosomal RNA", at positions 505 to 916 of the family's 1533-position model. The record is from RNAcentral.